This 774-nucleotide ribosomal RNA is filed under the name uncultured Neocallimastigales. RNAcentral's name for it is "partial large subunit ribosomal RNA". It matches the Rfam family "Eukaryotic large subunit ribosomal RNA", at positions 24 to 641 of the family's 3401-position model. Lineage: Eukaryota; Fungi; Neocallimastigomycota; Neocallimastigomycetes; Neocallimastigales. The record is from RNAcentral.
AUGUGAUCGUCUCUCGCAUAUCAAUAAGCGGAGGAAAAGAAACUAACAAGGAUUCCCCUAGUAACGGCGAGUGAAGCGGGAAGAGCUCAAAUUUGAAAUCUUAAAGGGUUUCCCUUUACGAAUUGUAGUUUAAAGAAGUGUUUUCUGUUGAGGUUUUGGUAAAAGUUCUUUGGAAUAGGACAUCAUAGAGGGUGAGAAUCCCGUAUUUGACCUUUACUUUCAACUUUGUGAUACACUUUCAAAGAGUCGGAUUGUUUGGGAAUGCAGUCCAAAAUGGGUGGUAAAUUUCAUCUAAAGCUAAAUAUUGGCGAGAGACCGAUAGCGAACAAGUACCGUGAGGGAAAGAUGAAAAGAACUUUGAAAAGAGAGUUAAACAGUACGUGAAAUUGUCAAAAGGGAAGCGUUUCGACACCAGUGUUGUUUUUCUGAAAAUCAAUUAAAGAACUGUUUAUGCUAAGUUGUUUAGACUUUAUCAGCUAACUGUUUAGUUUUGAGCUUUUCUUUAAUGCACUUUUCAGUUAACAAGUCAACAUCAAUUUCUUUUGCUGUAAAAAAGCUUGAGGAAGGUGGCUUGAGAUUCGUCUUAAGUGUUUAUAGCCUCUUGCCUAUGCAGUCGGAGAGAUUGAGGUCUGCAGCGUAGAUCCUUCGGGGCUAAAUGCAUUUGUGCUAAGUUAUAGCAUUUUAUAGACAACUUGUUGACUAUGAUUUGUCUUGUAGCUUACUCGCUUAUGUUAUUUUACCUACGCUUAGGAUGUUGACACACGCGCGUGCUCG